This 497-nucleotide ribosomal RNA is filed under the name uncultured bacterium. RNAcentral describes it as "partial 16S ribosomal RNA". It matches the Rfam family "Bacterial small subunit ribosomal RNA", at positions 28 to 507 of the family's 1533-position model. The record is from RNAcentral.
GAUGAACGCUGGCGGCGUGCCUAAUACAUGCAAGUCGAGCGAACGGACGAGAAGCUUGCUUCUCUGAUGUUAGCGGCGGACGGGUGAGUAACACGUGGAUAACCUACCUAUAAGACUGGGAUAACUUCGGGAAACCGUAGCUAAUACCGGAUAAUAUUUUGAACCGCAUGGUUCAAAAGUGAAAGACGGUCUUGCUGUCACUUAUAGAUGGAUCCGCGCUGCGUUAGCUAGUUGGUAAGGUAACGGCUUACCAAGGCAACGAUGCAUAGCCGACCUGAGAGGGUGAUCGGCCACACUGGAACUGAGACACGGUCCAGACUCCUACGGGAGGCAGCAGUAGGGAAUCUUCCGCAGUGGGCGAAAGCCUGACGGAGCAACGCCGCGUGAGUGAUGAAGGUCUUCGGAUCGUAAAACUCUGUUAUUAGGGAAGAACAUAUGUGUAAGUAACUGUGCACAUCUUGACGGUACCUAAUCAGAAAGCCACGGCUAACUACGUG